This 253-nucleotide ribosomal RNA is filed under the name uncultured bacterium. Its description in RNAcentral is "partial 16S ribosomal RNA". It matches the Rfam family "Bacterial small subunit ribosomal RNA", at positions 524 to 776 of the family's 1533-position model. The record is from RNAcentral.
GACGGAGGGUGCUAGCGUUGUUCGGAAUCACUGGGCGUAAAGGGCGCGUAGGCGGCCUCAGGUGUCGGAUGUGAAAGCCCGGGGCUCAACCCCGGAGGUGCAUCCGAAACUCUGGGGCUGGAGGUCGGAAGAGGAGGGUGGAAUACCCAGUGUAGAGGUGAAGUUCGUAGAUAUUGGGUGGAACACCGGUGGCGAAAGCGGCUCUCUGGUCCGGACCUGACGCUGAGGCGCGAAAGCGUGGGGAGCAAACAGG